UAAAACUGGGGUAUGAAUCCAACUAGUGGUACGUUCGGUAACGAAGCAGUAGUCGAAAGGGCAGUUGUACAACUGUCCCUAUCGUGCCACCGCAAGUGGCCUUUGAACUUCAUACGCAGACCACGCGUGAUUUUCUUGGGAAUCGGUGUGUUUGUGUACUCAAUAACCAUGAUAGCUACCUAGCAAUACUACCACUUACACACUAAUAUUCCUACUAAUAAAUGUAAACUCAGCACUUGAACAGUUGUGGAGAUGCAUAAAACAAAACGAAAACAAAACGAAAACAAAAUGCUUAUUCCUCCUGUUGUUUCUCGCUCAACUUCUGGUUUUUCUUUCAAAGACAAAAUAUUAUUUCCCUCACCCUAAAACAUGCAUCAAUCGAUAAACCCAACUCACAAACGUCUAGAUCAAAUGAAAAAGAAAUGCAAAGGGAUUAAAGCUUGACAUCCGUUCUCUUCAACCAAGAUCAAGACGAUUAAACGAGAAAAGCAAGAAAAAUGGAUCAUUCGAGAUAAAAGGGAAAAAACGGAGAGGGUUUACCCAAUCGGAAGGUCCGCCUGUCCAAGAUCUAGCAUUAUCGCUUGGGUUUUUACGGCGAGUGCUCUAACCGCAACUGAUUGUCCAGAUGAGCUCUGCUGCAAAACUCCAAAGGAAACUUCGACUCAGGGUUUCUGCGUGAGUGUGAAGUCUCGGUUUCAGCAGCGUAACGAUGCAAGGAGGGGAUCCCAUCUCUAUCAUUCGAGACCUCCUUUUAUAGGGCUUUGUACGAGGUUUUAUCGGUUCUCAUCCUUCGUGAGCUGGCGAAAUUUUGGACGAAUCAUUCCGUUAGCUAGGAGGAUCCCUUCCAGGUUUGGUGGUCCUCAAAUAUUGAUGUGGUCCCUGGAAUGAAAGGAUAGGGUUUUGUCUGUAGUGAAGGAGAACUUCCCUCGUGGCACUUGCAAGAAUUUUUUUGAUGAUGCUCUACGUUUGCUUUUCUUGGUCUUCCACAAGUGGUUCAUUAUGACUUGUGCAUCACGCUUUCGGAAUAGCUUGCAAAGUCGUUCAUACUAUGGAAAUAGAGUUCAGUCAUGUGUGUUGCCUACGUUCGGAUUGGAUCCGCUGCAAAUUAUGGUUGGUUUCAUGCUCAUGACUUGUGGUCUUGCGAAAGUUGCGUCUAUCCAGUACAAACUUUCAUCAACCGCAGUUAUUUUCCACACCACAUGUUGAUUGCCUUCUUACCGCACUAACUUGGUAUGUUUUGGUUGCAGUUGUGGUGCUUUUGGCAAAGUGAUAGCUAUCAUAACGUGGAAGUGGGUGAGAGGAAUUUCUGCCCUGCAAGGUUACCUUCUAUGCAUCAAAUCCGUUUCCUUGAGGUAUCAGUCGGUUAAGAUGCGACUAGAUCCUGGGUUUGCAGGUCAUGGCGUGCUUGCUAAAGGGUAACCUGUGGUUGUUAUGCUGUUGGUUUUGGUUCUGCAGCCAAGAUUUCUUGCUGUUUAAAGGGAUAGUUUGAUGACAGUUGAUGUUAGCUAGUGUUGUGGUUUUGCCACAACUUUGGUUGGCAGCUGUAUUGAAGACACAUGUGGUGCAAGUGAGAAAUCUCGACAAGGCUAGUAGCUGGGUUGGACCUUAACAAAAUAACAGAGAUCCUUCUCGUCAACUGAAGGAGUUUCAAUUUCGUUCCUCCUCUUCUGCAUUAAAUUGAACGGCAUCCUCAGUCUAGGUUCAGAAGCUAACCAAACUCACAUAACCUGGUGAACUCAAUCUUCUGGUAGUUUGAAAACAUGGUCACAUUCUUUGUAUGCUCUUCGUGUACAAAAUUCCUGAAAAGAAAUAACUUGCUCUUCAUCUGUUUCAUUCUAAUCAUGUUAUGUCGAAUGCUCUUUUAUACCAGGUGUGGAUUCCUUGCAAUUUGCUCUUAUCAGUGAUUCAACAUGGCUUUGACUCCUAAAUUGAUUAAGGAGAGCUUGGGCCUUUUCUUUAGCGCUCGGUGUGCCUGACUGUGAUAAAGCUACUAAUGGUGGCAUAGUUCCGUGUUGGAGCACCAUGCUUAAGAAUCUAUUACUGUGUAGGCGAAGAUGUAGAAGAGUUGCCGCUGCAUUCUCCUUUCCUCUAGCAGAACCCAACUCAACAACUUCAAUAGAACAGGAAUCAGCGGUUCUAUUGCACCGGCAUUUGUAAUUGUAGUUUUGUUGUUUAUCAUUGAUUGAUAAGUUGAGAAGUGUUGUAACAUCUUUUCCCUGGAUCUGUGUCUCGAUAUCUCGAUACCAGAAAGAUCGGCUCUUGAUUCCACAGCAGAAGAAAAUAUUAUCCUAGGAAUGAGCCCUUUUGAUGGCCUCCUCCAUAUAUCUUGGCUUCGAGACCUAGUCUCCAUAAGUCACCAUCAGUAUCUGACCCGGGAUAUGACUCUCAAGAAGUAUCUCUACUGUAGCCUGGACUUGUUGACAGCCGAGAAGCAUUGUUGUCAUCACCUUGUGUUUCCUGAUUUUGGUUUGUGAUUGGAUUGUGAAUCAUGGUCCUGCUAUGUGUGACAACAACUUGAUUUCUAAUUUUCGGAAUGUAUUUGAACGUUUGCAUGUAAUGUUGCGUAAUGACAUUUUGGAAUUGAAUUGGGUUCAUAACAUUCUUGCUUA
Lathyrus oleraceus (garden pea) is the source of this 2609-nucleotide long non-coding RNA. RefSeq lists it as uncharacterized. The transcript has 4 exons. The record is from RefSeq and is a predicted model, not a curated record. NCBI's taxonomy places the organism in Eukaryota, Viridiplantae, Streptophyta, Magnoliopsida, Fabales, Fabaceae.